CCUACGGGUGGCAGCAGUGAGGAAUAUUGGUCAAUGGACGAGAGUCUGAACCAGCCAAGUAGCGUGAAGGAUGACUGCCCUAUGGGUUGUAAACUUCUUUUAUAUGGGAAUAAAAUGUUCCACGUGUGGGUUUUUGUAUGUACCAUAUGAAUAAGGAUCGGCUAACUCCGUGCCAGCAGCCGCGGUAAUACGGAGGAUUCGAGCGUUAUCCGGAUUUAUUGGGUUUAAAGGGUGCGUAGGUGGAUUGUUAAGUCAGUUGUGAAAGUUUGAGGCUCAACCGUAGAAUUGCAGUUGAGACUGGCAGUCUUGAGAACAGUAGAGGUAGGCGGAAUUCGUGGUGUAGCGAUGAAAUGCUUAGAUAUCACGAAGAACUCCGAUUGCGAAGGCAGCUCACUGGACUGCAACUGACACUGAGGCUCGAAAGUGUGGGUAUCAAACAGGAUUAGAUACCCGUGUAGUC
This 460-nucleotide ribosomal RNA is filed under the name uncultured bacterium. Its description in RNAcentral is "partial 16S ribosomal RNA". It matches the Rfam family "Bacterial small subunit ribosomal RNA", at positions 338 to 795 of the family's 1533-position model. The record is from RNAcentral.